GAUGAAGAACGCAGCGAAAUGCGAUAAGUAGUGUGAAUUGCAGAAUUCAGUGAAUCAUCGAAUCUUUGAACGCACAUUGCGCCCCUUGGUAUCCCGAGGGGCAUGCCUGUUCGAGCGUCAUUUCACCACUCAAGCCUGGCUUGGUGUUGGGCGACGUCCUCUUUGGGGACGCGCCUCGAAACGCUCGGCGGCGUGGCACCGGCUUUAAGCGUAGCAGAAUCUUUCGCUUUGGAAGUCGGGGCCCCGUCUGCCGGAAGACCUGCUCGCAAGGUUGACCUCGGAUCAGGCAGGGAUACCCGCUGAGCUUAAGCAUAUCAAUAAGCGGAGGA
Molecule: unclassified non-coding RNA, 329 nt
Filed under: soil metagenome
Description: partial contains 5.8S ribosomal RNA, internal transcribed spacer 2, and large subunit ribosomal RNA
Rfam family: 5.8S ribosomal RNA (bases 1-120)
Source: RNAcentral